AUUGAACGCUGGCGGCAUGCUUUACACAUGCAAGUCGAACGGCAGCGCGGGCUUCGGCCUGGCGGCGAGUGGCGAACGGGUGAGUAAUGCAUCGGAACGUGCCCAGUAGUGGGGGAUAGCCCGGCGAAAGCCGGAUUAAUACCGCAUACGACCUGAGGGUGAAAGCGGGGGACCGAAAGGCCUCGCGCUAUUGGAGCGGCCGAUGUCGGAUUAGCUAGUUGGUGGGGUAAAGGCUUACCAAGGCGACGAUCCGUAGCUGGUCUGAGAGGACGACCAGCCACACUGGGACUGAGACACGGCCCAGACGCCUACGGGAGGCAGCAGUGGGGAAUUUUGGACAAUGGGGGCAACCCUGAUCCAGCCAUGCCGCGUGCGGGAAGAAGGCCUUCGGGUUGUAAACCGCUUUUGUUCGGGAAGAAAUCCUCUGGGCUAAUACCCCGGGGGAUGACGGUACCGGAAGAAUAAGCACCGGCUAACUACGUG
This 483-nucleotide ribosomal RNA is filed under the name uncultured bacterium. Its description in RNAcentral is "partial 16S ribosomal RNA". It matches the Rfam family "Bacterial small subunit ribosomal RNA", at positions 28 to 507 of the family's 1533-position model. The record is from RNAcentral.